GUGUGUGUGUGUGUAUGUGUGUUUUUUUUUUCUUUUUUUAGCAGUACCUAAUGGAAUGGGGGUAGAGGCAGACGACGCUUUGCUUGACGAAGGACCACAGAGUUUGCCAGCCAUGCGUCUGUGAACAUUUUCGUAACUUCCGAACGGAAGACACACGUCU
This is a long non-coding RNA of Frieseomelitta varia, 160 nucleotides long. RefSeq lists it as uncharacterized. The transcript has 3 exons. The record is from RefSeq and is a predicted model, not a curated record. NCBI's taxonomy places the organism in Eukaryota, Metazoa, Arthropoda, Insecta, Hymenoptera, Apidae.